AAGAAAGUGACAGAGGGGUUAUGUGUCUGACUUGAAAUCAGAUUACGGGGGUUCAAUUCCCUCCUUUCUCG
RNAcentral lists this transfer RNA (71 nucleotides) under Quasipaa spinosa (Chinese spiny frog). RNAcentral describes it as "tRNA-Ser". It matches the Rfam family "tRNA". From Rfam's summary of the family: Transfer RNA (tRNA) molecules are approximately 80 nucleotides in length. Their secondary structure includes four short double-helical elements and three loops (D, anti-codon, and T loops). RNAcentral also lists the same sequence under 3 other names. Lineage: Eukaryota; Metazoa; Chordata; Amphibia; Anura; Dicroglossidae. The record is from RNAcentral.